CCUACGGGGCGCACCAGUAAGGAAUCUUCCGCAAUGGACGAAAGUCUGACGGAGCAACGCCGCGUGAGUGAUGAAGGCUUUCGGGUCGUAAAACUCUGUUGUUAGGGAAGAACAAGUACAAGAGUAACUGCUUGUACCUUGACGGUACCUAACCAGAAAGCCACGGCUAACUACGUGCCAGCAGCCGCGGUAAUACGUAGAUGGCAAGCGUUAUCCGGAAUUAUUGGGCGUAAAGCGCGCGCAGGCGGUUUCUUAAGUCUGAUGUGAAAGCCCACGGCUCAACCGUGGAGGGUCAUUGGAAACUGGGGAACUUGAGUGCAGAAGAGAAAAGCGGAAUUCCACGUGUAGCGGUGAAAUGCGUAGAGAUGUGGAGGAACACCAGUGGCGAAGGCGGCUUUUUGGUCUGUAACUGACGCUGAGGCGCGAAAGCGUGGGGAGCAAACAGGAUUAGAUACCCGAGUAGUC
Molecule: ribosomal RNA, 465 nt
Filed under: uncultured bacterium
Lineage: Bacteria
Description: bacterial SSU rRNA
Rfam family: Bacterial small subunit ribosomal RNA
Source: RNAcentral